CCCUUAGAUGUUCGGGGCCGCACGCGCGCUACACUGAAGGACUCAGCGUGUCUCUCCCCCUAUCCCGAAAGGGAUGGGCAACCCGUUGAACCUCCUUCGUGCUAGGGAUUGGGGUUUGCAAUUAUCCCCCAUGAACGAGGAAUUCCUAGUAAGCGCGAGUCAUCAGCUCGCGCUGAUUACGUCCCUGCCCUUUGUACACACCGCCCGUCGCUACUACCGAUUGGAUGGUUUAGCGAGAACUUUGGACCGGAGCUCGGGUGGUCAGCAAUGGCCGCCCGAGACAUACUGGGAAAUCGCUCCAGCUUGAUCAUCUAGAGGAAGUAAAAGUCGUAACA
This 335-nucleotide ribosomal RNA is filed under the name uncultured eukaryote. RNAcentral's name for it is "partial 18S ribosomal RNA". It matches the Rfam family "Eukaryotic small subunit ribosomal RNA", at positions 1470 to 1796 of the family's 1831-position model. The record is from RNAcentral.